RNAcentral lists this ribosomal RNA (598 nucleotides) under uncultured bacterium. Its description in RNAcentral is "bacterial SSU rRNA". It matches the Rfam family "Bacterial small subunit ribosomal RNA", at positions 56 to 700 of the family's 1533-position model. The record is from RNAcentral.
UGCAAGUCGAGCGCUACCUUCGGGUGGAGCGGCGGACGGGUUAGUAACGCGUGGGAAUAUACCCUUCACUAUGGAAUAGCCUCGGGAAACUGAGAGUAAUACCAUAUACGCCCUUCGGGGGAAAGAUUUAUCGGUGAAGGAUUAGCCCGCGUAAGAUUAGAUAGUUGGUGGGGUAAUGGCCUAUCAAGUCUACGAUCUUUAGCUGGUUUUAGAGGAUGAUCAGCAACACUGGGACUGAGACACGGCCCAGACUCCUACGGGAGGCAGCAGUGGGGAAUCUUAGACAAUGGGCGAAAGCCUGAUCUAGCCAUGCCGCGUGAGUGAUGAAGGUCUUAGGAUCGUAAAGCUCUUUCGCUAGGGAUGAUAAUGACAGUACCUAGUAAAGAAGCCCCGGCUAACUCCGUGCCAGCAGCCGCGGUAAUACGGAGGGGGCUAGCGUUGUUCGGAAUUACUGGGCUUAAAGAGUUCGUAGGUGGUUGAAAAAGUUGGUGGUGAAAUCCCAGAGCUUAACUCUGGAACUGCCAUCAAAACUUUUCAGCUAGAGUAUGAUAGAGGAAAGCAGAAUUUCUAGUGUAGAGGUGAAAUUCGUAGAUAUUAG